GGGGUGGGACUCAGUUGGUAGAGCGCUUGCCUAGCAUGCAUGAAGCCCUGGAGCCCUGGGUUCCAGCCCAGUGCCACG
RNAcentral lists this transfer RNA (78 nucleotides) under Mus musculus (house mouse). RNAcentral's name for it is "tRNA-Ala". The record is from RNAcentral. Lineage: Eukaryota; Metazoa; Chordata; Mammalia; Rodentia; Muridae.